Molecule: non-coding RNA, 1332 nt
Organism: Camellia sinensis
Lineage: Eukaryota; Viridiplantae; Streptophyta; Magnoliopsida; Ericales; Theaceae
Source: RefSeq, a predicted model, not a curated record
GUGGCUUUCAUGGUCAAAAAAUGUCUUCGCAACUGUUAUUACAUUAUCUCAGUCCAUCACAGGUCAACUGAUUUGAAUAGUUUCUAACGUUGUAGGUGUCGUUGAAUUUGACGUGAUGAACAACGAGGAAGGUAGCAACAAUGACGGUCUAAUGGAAAUGCUUAACCAAAUGGCCAUAUAGCUUCAACAACAAGAUAACUGGACAUUCCUCAAAGAAUGCCGGUUACAAGUACCGCAACGUGAACAUGGCUUAGCCAUUCAAGAAAGCGUUGCAAUGUUUAUCCAAGUGUUGAGAGGGUUUUAGAAUCGAGAAAUCCAAAAACGGUUUCAAUAUUUGGGGGAGACUGUGUCUCGGCAUGUGCAUAAUGUAUUAGCGGUGAUGAAGGAGUUCAUUGUUGCACAUUGCAGGCCAACAUAUAAUCAGCAUCAUAUACAUCCAUACUUGUGGUCCAAACGGAAAUACCUACCUUUCAAGGACUAUAUUAGAGCAAUUGAUGGAAUACAUGUUACUGCGUUGGUUACGGGGCCAAAGGCUCCAACAUAUUUUGGUAGGAAAUACUGUCACACCCAAAUAUCAUGGCCGCGUGCGAUUUUGACAUGUGUUUCACCUUUGCAUCGCUUGGAUAGGAAGGAAGUAUGCACGAUAGUUGCAUCUUCAAUGAAAUAAUCACAAAUGACAAUGUUCCUUUUCCACAUCCUGAAGAAGGCAAAUAUUAUCUUGUCGAUGGUGGCUAUUCGAACCGCAUAGGUUACCUAGCACCAUUCAAAGGCAGUCGUUACCACCAACAACAAUUCUGCGUUACUAAAAGGCGUAGGACAACAGACAACCCCAGGGAAUUAUUUAACAAAGUUCACGCGUCGUUACGGAAUGUGGUGGAAUGCACUUUUGGAGCAUGGAAAAAUCGAUAGGGGUUUAUUCAAAUUAUGCCUCAGUACAAUUUUGCAAAUGUACAAGAGCAGUUGGUUGGUGCGUCAAGGGCGUUACAUAACUAUAUAUGUAGAAAUACUAGCAAUCCAACGACUAUUAACCCCAUCUUCAACGAAGAAGAGGCUAUGGCAAUAGUAAAUAGCAUACCAAAAGUUGCACAUGACGAAGAUGGUUUAAUGAAUGGGGAUGAUGACCCCCAUAUGGCAUUGGUGCGACUUCGCAUCCGAGACAAGCUAGUGUACAUGCGCAAAAACGAAAUGUUAGGAAACAUAGAGUCAACCUAAUAUUCGUAUGCGUGUAACAUUGUUCAGCCACAGUCGGGAUGUAUGUAAUUAUAUUAUAUUGUACAAUAUGUAUGUGUUUACACAAAAAAAUGAACUAUGGUUUACGUAACGUAUUUUGUA